AGAGGCCCAAGUUGACAAAUUUCGGCAUAAAAAGUGAUUAAUAUAUGUUUUUACUAAAGUCAAACAUCUUCAAAGCUGUCAUAUGCUCCCGAAGACAGGAGACCCUUCAACGAAAGUGACUUUAAACACUAUUACCUCACGAAAGCUAGGACACAAACUGGGAUUAGAUACCCCACUAUGCCUGGCCUUAAACACAAGCAAUAAAGUACAUCUUUGCUUGCCAGGGGACUACGAGCCCCAGCUUAAAACCCAAAGGACUUGGCGGUGCUUUAGACCCACCUAGAGGAGCCUGUUCUAAAACCGAUAACCCCCGUUAAACCUCACCUUCUCUUGUUAUUCCCGCCUAUAUACCGCCGUCGUCAGCUUACCCUAUGAAGGCCCAAUAGUGAGCACAAUUGGCACAGCCCAAAACGCCAGGUCGAGGUGUAGCGCACGAGAAGGGAAGAAAUGGGCUACAUUCACUGCCCCAGUGAACACGAACAAUGCCCUGAAACAGACAUUCAAAGGAGGAUUUAGCAGUAAGGAGGGAAAAGAGUGCCCUCCUGAAACCGGCCCUGAAGCGCGCACACACCGCCCGUCACUCUCCCCAAAUAAAAACAAGCACAUAAAUAAUUAACAAACAAAAUAAAGGGGAGGCAAGUCGUAACAUGGUAAGUGUACCGGAAGGUGCACUUGGAAAAAUCAGAACGUAGCUAAAAA
This 699-nucleotide ribosomal RNA is filed under the name Mugilogobius chulae (yellowstripe goby). RNAcentral's name for it is "partial 12S ribosomal RNA". It matches the Rfam family "Bacterial small subunit ribosomal RNA", at positions 534 to 1533 of the family's 1533-position model. The record is from RNAcentral. Lineage: Eukaryota; Metazoa; Chordata; Actinopteri; Gobiiformes; Gobiidae.